This 2109-nucleotide long non-coding RNA is filed under the name Pelobates cultripes (western spadefoot toad). Lineage: Eukaryota; Metazoa; Chordata; Amphibia; Anura; Pelobatidae. The record is from RNAcentral.
CAUAAGAACUUUUUUUUUUUUUUUGUUUGUUUGCUCUUUUUGAUUUAAAUAAACUACUUUGUACUUGCACUUGUAAUUCUUAACUGCACAAAAGAGUGCACAUUUUCAGGCAAAGCUGAUCCUGGGUGGGCACAUGGUGGGGCAUGGAUGCGGGGUUGAGGGGAGUGCUGCCUGCAAGGAGCAGGCCAAUGACCUGUCACAGGGGGCCCAGAACGUGGCUAGCUGGUCAACUUAGGGCACCCCCAAAGUGAACACUUAUUCAGUAAGGCAGAGUAGGCACCUGCUUACUCCAGACGUCAGGUGCAUACUCUGCCGAAAUAUACCAGGGAGGAGGAGGCAGUGGUGAGGGAGAGCUUAUGUGUUUCCAGAUCCUCACUGCUCCCUCGUGCGCACUCUAUGGUGAUGCCUGGAGCCAGAAUAUGACAUCACUCAACAUCUCGAGGAAGAAGUAAGGAACUGUAGGGAAAAGAUCCCUAGUGGACCCCAGGGAGAAGAUCCCGACUGGAGCCAGGGAGAAAAUCUCCACUGGCUGUGGCUGAGAAUCAUCAGUUUCUUAAUGAGAGGCCUCUUAUUGCUCAUUUCCUGGUUCAAACUGAAAGUAUAUGCUGGGGGGAAAAAAGGGAGGAUUUGCAAAGGCUGCAGGGAGAAAAACUGAAGCUUUUUUAAGCUGCUUUAAGACAUACCCCCAAUGACAACGUGCAUACCUAAAUACAAGCAUGUUUUCAUUGGGGGUAUUACUAAAAAUAGUACUAAAUUGUGAUUUACUAAAAAAAAACAAAAAAAAAUCUGUUCCUUUAAUGGGAAUCUCAAAAUCCAUAAUGAAUUGUAACAAAUAAAACUAUAAAUUAAUGUAAGGUAUGUUCAAUAUAUGAUUUUAAUACAUAUGUGGAUACUUAGUUAUUAAUAAAGUCUUCACACACACAAUUGCUAAUGAUUACCAGCACUUUAUGUUUUUUACUCUUUAUUUAUCAUUCACUUGUUACUAUCAUGUUUAAUGUACACUGCUCAAAAAAAUAAAGGGAACACAAAAAUAACACAUCCUAGAUCUGAAUGAAUUAAAUUUUCUUAUGAAAUACUUUGUUCUUUACAUAGUUGCAGGGCCAGACUGGGAAGAAAAUUCGGCCUGCUCAUUUUUGAAUUACAGCGGUCCACUAAAAAGGGGGCAGGGCCAGAUAGGGUGUGUUUUGUCAUCACCAAUGACAAGCAUGCCCCAUCACAAAGUGAGCAUGUUGGUUCAAUGCUCUUCCAGGGUAGACCAUGCGCAGAGCUCUGCUGAAGAGCUUUGGCAUGAGAAAAAGACCCUGUAUUUGUUCUGCACAGCACAAGCAAAUUCAAUAACAUGCUUGCACUGUGUUUGCUUGAAAUUUGUCUCUGGUGUCUCCAUAGAUGGGAUACCAGGAGACAAAAAUGCUAGGAAAGCAUAUUGUGCAGUGUGUGUGAGGGUGCUCUGUGUGUGUGUGUGUGUAAGGGGUGUAGUGUGUGUGCAUGUGAGAGGGGUGCACUGUGUGUGUGUGAGGGGUAUUGUGGGUGUGUGAGUGAUGGGUGCUGUGUUUGUGUGAGGGUUUUAUGUGGGUAAGGGUGCUGUGGGUGAGUGGGUGCUGUGGGUGAGUGGGUGCUGUGUUUGCGUGAGGGUGCUAUGUGCGUGUGAGGAAGCUGUGUGUGUCAGGGGUGCAGUGUGUGUGAGGGUGCUGUGAGUGUCAGGGGUGCAGUGUGUGUGAGUGAGGGUGCUGUGAGUGUCAGGGGUGCAGUGUGUGUUUGUGUGUGUAUGUGUGUGCUAGUGAGGGUGCUGUGAGUGUCAGGGGUGUAGUGUGUGUGUGUGCUGUGCGUGUCAGGGGUGCAGUGUGUGUGUGUGUGUGUGAGGGUGCUGUAAGUGUUAGGGGUGCAGUGUGUUUGUGCUGUGAGUGUUAGGGGUGCAGUGUGUGUGUGUGUGCUGUGAGUGUCAGGAGUGCAGUGUGUGUGUGCUGUGAGUGUCAGGGGUGCAGUGUGUGUGAGUGUGGGUGCUGUGAGUGUCAGGUGUGCAGUGUGUGUGAGUGAGGGUUCUGUGUGUGUCAGGGGUGCAGUGUAUGUGAGUGAGGGUGCUGUGAGUGACAGGGGUGCAGUGUGUGUGAG